CAUAGGUAGGAGCCUCCUAUUGGACAAUUACCGCACGAGCAAUUAUCUUUCAGCUGGUAACUGUUGUGAGCUGGGAGGUGAGCACUCUACAUACACCAUUACGUCACCUGUUUUUUUUGGGAGCUUCUCUGAUUUCAGGAGAGAGAGCAGCAGCUGUGGUCAAUCAGCUCAUCAGCAGGUGGCCUUCAUAAGGAGGACGGAGGACACUGCUAAACUGCCGGAUGAUUACGCCUCACUGGCUCAGUCAUCCCUCUCGAUACACCGGAUCUCUGCGUGACACUUUGGAUAUACAACUGCCCGACCAUACAGCCUCUGGAUUCACCUCUCGACUCCCCGUCCUCCUAACGGCUCGACUUGCUCCUGGCAAACCUGCUCUCUCUCUCACAUCACCUCCAGUUGGAACCCCGUCGAUCUGCUUCAACCCUGGAUAUCCGCUCGCUCUCCCAGCUCACCCCUCCCCGGACAAACUUCACCACACUUGACCCACGCUGCUCCCGUCACUCAUUCGCUGUUUACCAGUUACUCCUGGAAUCAUCUUUUCUAAAUAAAUCAUUAUUAUUCCUACCACCAGCUUCCGUGUACUGAUUCUGCAUGUCCUGGGUUAAACUUUUACCACAGAACAUGACAGUAACAAGUUAUUUAACUCAAACUGGUGCAAUGAGUUGCUUCUCAUUUCUGAAACAACCAUGUGGAAAGUCACAUCUGGUGGUUGUGGAAAAGACAUUAGUCUGUUAGAGAAAGGUCAGAUCAUUGGUAUGCAUCAAGCAGAGAAAACAUCUAAGGAGAUUGCAGAAACGAAUAAAAUUGGGUUAAGAACUGUCCAACGCAUUAUUAAAAACUGGUCUGAUGAGUCCAGAUGGACACUGUUCCAGAGUGAUAGUGCAUCAGGGUAAGAAGAGAGGCAGAUGAAGUGAUGCACCCAUCAUGCCUAGUGCCUACUGUGCAAGCCUGUGGUGGCAGUGCUAUGAUCUGGGGUUGCUACAGUUGGUCAGGUCUAGGUUCAGCAACAGGAUUUGCUACAUGAAUGAGGUCAGCUGACUACCUGUCAUGGUCUGUGCUGAGCUAACACCUGUUUGAGUUUCUCUGUGUGCAGGUGGGUGUGUCCGGAGAGCAGCUGUUGUUGAUCUCCUCAUCAGUGGUCAGGGGAUUUAAGGAGUGUUGGGACAACACAUCAGCGCUGGAUGAUUACUCAGUAUUGGGUACCUUCCAUUCAUCUGCCAACUUCCACCACCAAGCAAGAAACUCACCGGAUCAUCCUGCUCACCAGCCCGUCACUCGCCCCUGACCGCCUGCUCUCCAACCCCCACCUGCCAUCAGUACAACCUGGACUCCGGUGCUCAGCUCCCAGCCAUUUCCUCUGCCUCUCGCCCGACCAACUCAGCCAGCCCUGACGUGCCCUCCUCUCAAAACUCUCUCUAACUAACUGGAAACCAACUUCAUCAGAACCUCCCGAAUCCCAUUCAACAUCUGCAUCACUCAUCCAACUUUAAUAAAUAAUUUUACUCACCUUC
Nothobranchius furzeri (turquoise killifish) is the source of this 1511-nucleotide non-coding RNA. The record is from RefSeq and is a predicted model, not a curated record. NCBI's taxonomy places the organism in Eukaryota, Metazoa, Chordata, Actinopteri, Cyprinodontiformes, Nothobranchiidae.